CAGUCGCCGCGGUAAUACGAACCGUGCAAACGUUACUCGGAAUCACUGGGCUUAAAGCGCACGUAGGCGGCGACAUAAGUUAGAGGUGAAGUCCCAUCGGCUCAACCGUGGAACUGCCUCUAAUACUGUGUUGCUUGAGGGAGAACGGGGCAUUCGGAACUUCCGGUGGAGCGGUGAAAUGUGUUGAUAUCGGAAGGAACGCCGGUGGCGAAAGCGGAAUGCUGAGUCUCUUCUGACGCUGAGGUGCGAAAGCUAGGGUAGUGAACGGGAUUAGAUACCCCAGUAGUCCCUGUCUCUUAUA
This 301-nucleotide ribosomal RNA is filed under the name uncultured bacterium. RNAcentral's name for it is "partial 16S ribosomal RNA". It matches the Rfam family "Bacterial small subunit ribosomal RNA", at positions 509 to 808 of the family's 1533-position model. The record is from RNAcentral.